Molecule: ribosomal RNA, 683 nt
Filed under: uncultured Microbacteriaceae bacterium
Lineage: Bacteria; Bacillati; Actinomycetota; Actinomycetes; Micrococcales; Microbacteriaceae
Description: bacterial SSU rRNA
Rfam family: Bacterial small subunit ribosomal RNA
Source: RNAcentral
GGAUCUAGCUCUAGCUGGAUUAGUGGCGAACGGGUGAGUAACACGUGUGCAAUCUGCCCUGGACUCUGGGAUAACCCCGAGAAAUCGGAGCUAAUACCGGAUACGACACCUCCCGGCAUCGGGUGGGUGUGGAAAGAAUUUCGGUCCAGGAUGAGCUCGCGGCCUAUCAGCUUGUUGGUGAGGUAACGGCUCACCAAGGCGACGACGGGUAGCCGGCCUGAGAGGGUGACCGGCCACACUGGGACUGAGACACGGCCCAGACUCCUACGGGAGGCAGCAGUGGGGAAUAUUGCACAAUGGGCGCAAGCCUGAUGCAGCAACGCCGCGUGGGGGACGAAGGCCUUCGGGUUGUAAACCUCUUUUAGUAGGGAAGAAGCGCAAGUGACGGUACCUACAGAAAAAGCACCGGCUAACUACGUGCCAGCAGCCGCGGUAAUACGUAGGGUGCAAGCGUUGUCCGGAAUUAUUGGGCGUAAAGAGCUCGUAGGCGGUUUGUCGCGUCUGCUGUGAAAAUCCGAGGCUCAACCUCGGACCUGCAGUGGGUACGGGCAAACUAGAGUGCGGUAGGGGAGAUUGGAAUUCCUGGUGUAGCGGUGGAAUGCGCAGAUAUCAGGAGGAACACCAAUGGCGAAGGCAGAUCUCUGGGCCGUAACUGACGCUGAGGAGCGAAAGCGUGGGGCGCG